AGCGUCUCUCCGUGGCUCGAGUCGAGAUCGCGCCGCGCGACAGCAGCUUUGUGCCUCCGCAGCUUCAGCUCACGGACUCUGGGUGAACUGGUGCUCAAUCUCCAUCCAUCCCACUGGAGACCUCCUCAGGGUGAUCUCCAUGACCUCCUCCUCCUCCUCACUGCACGGAUACACGAUCAGUUAUCACGGAGAGGACGUCAUUUCGCGCAAAGAUAUCGCGGAAAUCUAAGCGAUGAGUGAGGAAUAUAGACUUGAUGUCGCCGAGACGAAUACCGGCGCCGCACUAACGUUUCAAAUAACUAAUUAAUGUAUGUUAAGUAGCCUGUGCAGUUGCUAAAAUACAUGUGCUACCCUUGCAGAACGCUCGUGGAUGGAUUCGUGCAGUGGCUGGUGAAUUAUUAAUAACCGGGAGCGCUUCACAGUCUGUUCUGUUCACAGAGGAACCAGAACGGCAGCUGGGGGUUUAAGGGAAUUAAAUACGGGCUUGGAGUGAAGCAGGGACGGCAGGGGAUUAUACCGUUCACCGGAGAGAGAAAGAGAGAGAAAGAGAGAGAGAGAGAGAGAGAGAGCGAGAGAGAGAGCGAGAGAGAGAGAGAAGCAGAGAUGGAUGAAGUGUGUGACUUCACUUUUGCAACCACAAUGUUAAAUGGUGACGUCUCGAGCGAUGCACGAAUUCAGGUGUUUAGAGUGAUAUUUCUGUGUCUCCAUUAUUCUUGUCAUGUUAUCAAAUGAGUGCACAAGUAAACACUAUGCACUAAUAGUGCACUGGUGUGAAAGUGUUCAGUCGGCAGGUGAACAGGUGUAGUGCAGUUUGGUCACCGGUCAAUUCUGAUCACUAUUUGAUGAAACAAGACGAUGCAGCAAAAUCUCAAGUGCUGUGAUGAUGAGUAACAAUCUACAUUUCUUUUGAAAUGAGCUACAUUUUAUCCUAUUUAAAAUCAAAUUCUGAUUUUAAUUAUAAAUAACGAUUUAAAAAAAAAAAAAGAUAUUGUUACAUUCAGCUGUAAUUUGUAAAUGCAGACGGGUUUUAAUUAAUUCAACGUGUGCCAGAUGUGUUUGAAGGUAAAAGGUCGUCUUAUUUGGGGGAAUCUUUGUUAAUUACGGCUGUUUUAAUUAAUUCAACAUACAUUGGCUGUAAAACAGAAGAAAGACCUCUAAACGACCCGAAAGAGACACGCGCUGACCUUCAGUGAAGCCCUGAUGCGCGCGCUGUGAUGCAGCUGCCAACUACAUUAUCAAACAAAUCACCUUUCCUAUAAUACAUGCAAAGUAAAAUAAAAAAUAAAUACAAUUAUAAACCCUGCACAUGUAAACAGAAUGUUUUUUUUACUAUAAUGACACAAAAGUCUUUUUUAGCAUUUAUGAUUGUCAUUUUAUAGUUGUUUUUUCUAUUAAUAAUGCGGCAAUUUUACGAAACAAAUGCAUGUAAUUUUUUUCGUUUGUAUCUCAAAAUAGGCCUACAAUAAGGCAGAAAAAUAUACAAUGAACCAAAAUGGUAAAAGAUUAAAUAAAACACCCAAAGGAAGUAGUAUAACGAAAUUAUAUUCAAUAAAUCACAGAAGAAAAUCUAACAAACAAAAUAUUAAGCAGCAAACCAUGCUCAGCAUAUUUUAUCUAAUAUUUUUUUUACAUUAUUUAUUUGGAUUUUGAUUUCGAUUUUAUUUUCUUUAUUUAUCAAGAUUUUCUAUUAUUAGCCUUUAAAUCACUCACCAUUUUAUCUGUUUUUAAACAUUUCUGAAAACAUGCCAAAACUAUUUUCCAUUAAGCCAAUAAAAGUAAUCAAUAAAUAAAUAAAUAAAUACAUUUAUUAUUAUUACUAAUAUUGGUUGCUGCAUUAAAAAUUAAACCACCGUCAGAAACACGAAUGCGAAUCAAAGAUUUCUUUAAAACAUUAUUUGAAUAAAACGUUAAAACGUUUACAGUUGACAAUAUUUCUAAAUAUAAAUAAAUUAAUGUCAAAAUCAAUUUCAUUUUAUAAAAAUAUAUAGCCUACUAAUAAAAUAGGCUAUUUGUGAAUUGCAAACACUGUUUAUAUAUUUUCAUCCUUUCAAAUAAACAGAAUAAUAUUAUUAAACGGUCUAUAAGACAAAUCACUUCGAGCAGCUAUUGCUCUUUCAAUUUACAGUAUUUCUAUAUUUAUUAAUAGGCUAUACGUUUGCGAUGUUAAAAGGUUUUUUAAGUACAAAUAUCAGCUCGGUGAUCUAAUCUGAACAUCUCGGGCAAAGAGGGAAAACCAACAAAUGUGUUACUAUCUCAGUUUAAACGAAAUUAUAUUAUAGAAUGUAAAUAUUAUAUAUGCUUUUAUUACGCUUUAUAUAAGAAUAUUGUAUCUAAUAUUUAAACAAUAGCUAACAGGCAAACUUUUAAAUUAAGAAAUUAAAAAAAAUCGACUGUCCGCAAUGAAAUUAUUCACAUGAGAAUGGAGAAUUUGUCUUGAAUUUUUUUCUUAAAAUAAAUCUGAACACUAUGCACAUGAUGAAUACAAUUAAAUAAAGCGCGGGAACAAAGGCCAGAGACAUGAACACUGACUGAAUUGGUUGUUUAUGAAGCUGUCAUAUUUUCCCAAACAUUUUUGAACGGUAUAUGAUCACAUUAAAUGUUGGACGAAAGGAAAAAGAAACUGAUGCUGCGCAGGUGCUCUUCAAACGAACUGAAGAAGAGCUUCUAACAAGAGAGAGAGAGAAUCCUUAAUGAACAUGACUUAAAAAUAUACAGUGUAGAAAACACACGUGACAGGUUAUUGAUUUCACCGCCGCAAACACUGGAGCAAACAAAAAAAAAGAGGAAGAAAGAUAAUUCGCUAGCUACAUUCAUUAAAACAAAAAUACAAAAAUAAUAUUAAAAAAAAAAGUGUAAUAUAGUUGAAUCUACUUUUUCUUUCUAGCCUUUUUUUCUUGUAUAUACAUAUACAUUAUAUUCACUCACACAAGUGCACACAAAAUAUUCAAAGCAAUAUUACUCACGUGAUCUUUACCCCUAAAGGCCAAAAAUAAAAUUCCUUGCAGUUGUAGUAAUGCAUUUUGAUAAUUUAUAAAAAAAUUGUUUCAUACGAUUAAUUCAAGAGAACAUAUGGCUACUUAGAAAAACAGCCAAAGGUCGACAUACAGUUCACUAAAACAGGUCAAAGUUUAAAACAUUUUACUGUCGGAAAUGAAGACAUCAUAAGACUGAGACUGAAUCCAUCUCAGAAACUGGUUUCUGUGGGUUCAAAAAUCUACCAUAAUAAAAAUAUAAGCUUUACUGAAUUUCACUAGAGGAGCAUGUUAUUUAACCCUGGUUUAUUUUAAGAUCAAGAUGCAUGAUUUAAGAUAAAAUUUAUAAAUAAAUAUCUAAAGUUUCUGAUUUAGACUCUCAAACCUUUUUUUUUUUUAAGGUAGAUAAUGCCUGCUCCGUUCUUCCCUGCAUCACUUCAAACAGGAGGGUCAUUUAUUUUGUGCGGUGCAAACUGAAUUUAGGCUCUGCUGCCUGUUCCUUGGCUUGGCCUUAAUUUCUGACUGUCUGUCUUUAAUUUAGCAGGGCUACUCAGAGCUGAAAAGACUCAGAUUCAGCUAAGCAACGGCCAGGGCCAGGAAUGCUGACCUUGGCGGGUGAACCGGGCCAACGACUGAGCGCAUCAACACUUGGUAGCAGCACAUGGCGGGACAGCUGUUGCAGGCCAAAGUGGGCAUCUGUGCACAGGGAGACAGAGAUACGGAGCGGGCGAGAGGAAGAGGUGCGGACAUCUGUGGCCAGGGAUUGACAAACACUUGGACAGAUGAAGAGAGCCGAGACGAGAAGGAAAAAGAGAGGAAGUUGGACUAGGACAAGGAAGCAGGAUUAUCUGAACAGAUGACAGGGAUGUGCUAGCGAGCGAGAGAAAGCGAUGGCUGGAGGAUUGAAGGAAUUGGAAUAUGUUAAUUACGAUUCUUGCAUUAAAACUAGAAUUGAAUAUAUAAAAGAACCUUUUAUACAGGAUGUAAAGGUCUCCUCUAUUAUGCUGGCAUGUUGAUAUAUGGUUACUAGCUCAAAUAUUGUCCACCAUCAUGAUCUUGUGGUCUCUAAAUGUGGCUCAAUUUCUUUGUUCAAUGCAAAUCUGUUGGGCUUUUUCUCCUGUUUAAUCAUCCACGAAGUGAAAAUCAUAGAAAUAUAACAGCAAACCUCUCAAAAUGAUUUAAACAAUAUUCCCCACAGUAAAGAUUCAUCCUCCGGAGGUUAGGGUUUGGUCAGAUCACAAACCCCAAGUACUGUGUUAGUAAACUGUGUUAGUGGUUCUUUAAGACCUUUAGGUGAAGAACUAUUUCUAGGGGCCAUAAGUGUUUUUGCAUUGAAAAACGCGAGAUGGGAGCACUGAAAUGGAAUUUAAAACAGCAAGGUCUUAAGAUGCGUUUUUAAAAAGUUGCAUUUAUUUUAACAUGAGUGUCUCGUUUUUAAAAUCCGGUCUCAUCUAGCACUUAUAUACAGAAAAACUAUGGAAAAGUAGUGCAGUGAAAUGCAAUAACAAAAUAAAAUGUUGUUUUUUUGGGCAGUGUAAUAA
Molecule: long non-coding RNA, 4513 nt
Organism: Carassius gibelio (silver crucian carp)
Lineage: Eukaryota; Metazoa; Chordata; Actinopteri; Cypriniformes; Cyprinidae
Exons: 2
Source: RefSeq, a predicted model, not a curated record